RNAcentral lists this non-coding RNA (31 nucleotides) under Mus musculus (house mouse). Lineage: Eukaryota; Metazoa; Chordata; Mammalia; Rodentia; Muridae. The record is from RNAcentral.
UGAACCUCUGCCUCACAAAGACGAACAAAGC